This is a non-coding RNA of Phascolarctos cinereus (koala), 922 nucleotides long. The record is from RefSeq and is a predicted model, not a curated record. NCBI's taxonomy places the organism in Eukaryota, Metazoa, Chordata, Mammalia, Diprotodontia, Phascolarctidae.
GUGUAGAGGGUAUUUGCUUUGUUGCUGUUCAUACUAAUGAACCAACAAGGAAAAGAGCUCCAUUCAGCAAAAAUGGCAUGCUCCCAAGCUAUGAAAUGUACAUUAAUUCCUAAAGCUAUUCCAAAUUCUUGUUGCAUCCAGAAAUUCCUGCUGGUCCACAGCCCCUUUUUGUGCUGGACCUCUGAACUCAUUACUCACUGAUCUACUUUUUAUUUUUAACCUCGAAGGUUACAUAAUAGGACACUUUUGCUCAAAAUUAGUCGUCUAAAUCUCAUUGCUUCAUGUCACAGGGAUCUAAAAGUUUCAGUCAUACAUUACUUCAACACCUUGCCCUUAAAGAUUCAACCAGAAGAAAUCUCUCAAUUAAACAAAGAAGAAUGUUUAUGUUCAAAAGUGUAGAACAAAAACAACUCUUCAUCAAAUUACUAUCACAAUAGAUUACAUCAGAAUGAAUUCACUUUCAAAGUGGAAGACCUCGGGAGCCUACACACUUAUUCCAAGGAUGCUAUUAUUUCUCUCAAGGCAUUUUGCAUUUCCUCUUUUUGGAAUGGCCUUUAACAUAGACACAGCAUUGGCCUGAAUAUUCUCAACCAAAAAUUUCAGGUCACAUUUGGAGCCAAACCAGCUUUCUUUCAGAGCCUCAAACACUAAGCUAAUGCUGGCAAUGUGUGUAGUAACCUAAUCAUCUAUGUGGACAUCUCUGGGAAGCUGAUCAUUGUCCUUCAUUCUCAAAGAGGACCAAAAUGAUAUCACUAUGUUGGAGUCAAGGUAUAGAGUGUCUGAUUGUGACUGAUCACAGUAAUGUGAAGUAAUAUGAAUAUGAAGAGAUGGAGAAGGAAUAUGAACAAGUCAAAAAAGGACAGGAAUGUGAACUGAUUCAAAAUGAAAUUAUCUGGGAAAUGAAAAAAGUAAGCCCAUUUUC